AUGCGUACACGCAGCAAGUCCGGCUUCGCCCAGCCUAAGACACUUCACAUCGCCACCUCCGGCAUCAGUCCCAUUCCUUCCUCUUAUCGUGUAGCCCUCCAGGACCCCGACUGGCACGCCGCGAUGCUUGAGGAAUAUAACGCACUGAUGCGGAAUAAUACUUGGUGUUUAGUGUCUCGUCCUGCAGGUGCAAACGUCGUGACAUGCAAGUGGAUCUUUCGGCACAAGUUCCACCCCGACGGGACGCUCGCGCGCUACAAAGCGCGGUGGGUACUUCGCGGCUUCACCCAGCAGGCCGGCGUCGACUACGUUGAGACGUUCAGCCCCGUCGUCAAGCCGGCCACCAUUCGGACAGUGCUCAGCAUUGCCGCCGGCAAGUCGUGGCCCAUUCAUCAGCUAGACGUCAAGAAUGCCUUCCUCCAUGGGCAUCUCGCGGAGACUGUCUACAGCCACCAGCCAUCCGGUUUCAUCGACGCUGCAUCACCAUCACAUGUGUGCCGGCUGAACCGUUCCUUGUACGGUCUCAAGCAGGCACCGAGAGCGUGGUUCACUCGGUUCACCUCCUACCUGCGCACGCUCGGCUUCGUAGCAUCGCGGGCGGACUCGUCCUUGUUCGUCCUCCGCCGCGGACAGCACCUGGCGUACCUGCUGCUCUACGUCGACGACAUCAUCCUCACCGCGGACUCCCCCAUCGUCCUCGACUCGGUCAUUCAGGCGCUCCAUCGGGAGUUCUCGAUGACGGACCUCGGCGCGCUCCAUCACUUCCUCGGCAUCAACGUCACCACCACGACGCGCGGAUUGUUCCUCUCCCAGGAACAGUACGCACUGGAGAUCCUCGACCGUGCGGGCAUGCUCAAUUGCAAGCCCCUCUCCACUCCGGUCGACACGUUGGCCAAGCUCUCCGUCAACACCGGGCCGCUCUUCCACGACCCGUCUCUCUACCGCAGCUUGGCCGGUGCCCUCCAGUACCUCACGCUGACGCGCCCUGAUCUCUCCUACGCCGUCCAGCAGUGUUGUAUGUUCAUGCAGGCACCCCGGGACUGUCACUUCCUGCUCGUGAAACGCGUGCUCCGGUACUUGCGUGGUACGGCGCAUCUUGGGCUUCCCAUCCAUCGCGACACCACCACUGAGCUCGUCGCCUACUCCGACGCCGAUUGGGCCGGCUGCCCCGACACACGGAAGUCCACCUCGGGCUACUGUGUGUACCUUGGCUCCAACCUCCUUACCUGGUCGUCGAAGCGGCAAAACACCGUCUCGCGGUCCAGUGCCGAGGCCGAGUACCGGGCAGUCGCCAAUGCCGUCGCCGAGUCGGUGUGGUUGCGCCAA
RNAcentral lists this ribosomal RNA (1326 nucleotides) under Triticum aestivum (bread wheat). RNAcentral describes it as "partial small subunit ribosomal RNA". Lineage: Eukaryota; Viridiplantae; Streptophyta; Magnoliopsida; Poales; Poaceae. The record is from RNAcentral.